Molecule: ribosomal RNA, 432 nt
Filed under: Microbacterium sp.
Lineage: Bacteria; Bacillati; Actinomycetota; Actinomycetes; Micrococcales; Microbacteriaceae
Description: bacterial SSU rRNA
Rfam family: Bacterial small subunit ribosomal RNA
Source: RNAcentral
CAAGGCUUGACAUAUACGAGAACGGGCCAGAAAUGGUCAACUCUUUGGACACUCGUAAACAGGUGGUGCAUGGUUGUCGUCAGCUCGUGUCGUGAGAUGUUGGGUUAAGUCCCGCAACGAGCGCAACCCUCGUUCUAUGUUGCCAGCACGUAAUGGUGGGAACUCAUGGGAUACUGCCGGGGUCAACUCGGAGGAAGGUGGGGAUGACGUCAAAUCAUCAUGCCCCUUAUGUCUUGGGCUUCACGCAUGCUACAAUGGCCGGUACAAAGGGCUGCAAUACCGUGAGGUGGAGCGAAUCCCAAAAAGCCGGUCCCAGUUCGGAUUGAGGUCUGCAACUCGACCUCAUGAAGUCGGAGUCGCUAGUAAUCGCAGAUCAGCAACGCUGCGGUGAAUACGUUCCCGGGUCUUGUACACACCGCCCGUCAAGUCAUG